AACGAACGCUGGCGGCAUGCCUAACACAUGCAAGUCGAGCGAGACCUUCGGGUCUAGUGGCGCACGGGUGCGUAACGCGUGGGAACCUGCCCUUAGGUUCGGAAUAACUCCCCGAAAGGGGUGCUAAUACCGGAUAAUGUCUUCGGACCAAAGAUUUAUCGCCUUUGGAUGGGCCCGCGUUGGAUUAGCUAGUUGGUAGGGUAAAAGCCUACCAAGGCGACGAUCCAUAGCUGGUCUGAGAGGAUGAUCAGCCACACUGGGACUGGGACACGGCCCAGACUCCUACGGGAGGCAGCAGUGGGGAAUAUUGGACAAUGGGCGAAAGCCUGAUCCAGCAAUGCCGCGUGAGUGAUGAAGGCCUUAGGGUUGUAAAGCUCUUUUACCCGGGAUGAUAAUGACAGUACCGGGAGAAUAAGCUCCGGCUAACUCCGUG
This 433-nucleotide ribosomal RNA is filed under the name uncultured bacterium. RNAcentral describes it as "partial 16S ribosomal RNA". It matches the Rfam family "Bacterial small subunit ribosomal RNA", at positions 29 to 507 of the family's 1533-position model. The record is from RNAcentral.